Molecule: ribosomal RNA, 249 nt
Filed under: uncultured prokaryote
Description: partial 16S ribosomal RNA
Rfam family: Bacterial small subunit ribosomal RNA
Source: RNAcentral
UACGGAGGAUGCAAGCGUUAUCCGGAUUUAUUGGGUUUAAAGGGUGCGCAGGUUGUUUGAUAAGUCAGUGGUGAAAGUCUGUCGCUUAACGGUAGGAUUGCCAUUGAUACUGCUGGACUUGAAUAUGGAUGAGGUAGGCGGAAUGUGUAGUGUAGCGGUGAAAUGCAUAGAUAUUACACAGAACACCGAUUGCGAAGGCAGCUUACUAAUCCAUCAUUGACGCUGAGGCACGAAAGCGUGGGGAUCAAA